RNAcentral lists this ribosomal RNA (458 nucleotides) under uncultured bacterium. Its description in RNAcentral is "partial 16S ribosomal RNA". It matches the Rfam family "Bacterial small subunit ribosomal RNA", at positions 338 to 795 of the family's 1533-position model. The record is from RNAcentral.
CCUACGGGCGGCAGCAGUGGGGAAUAUUGCACAAUGGGGGAAACCCUGAUGCAGCGACGCCGCGUGAGUGAAGAAGCGUUUCGGCGCGUAAAGCUCUGUCAGCGGGGCAGAAACACGGUUCGCGAGAGCCGCGGACGGUACCCGACCAAGAAGCCCCGGCUAACUACGUGCCAGCAGCCGCGGUAAUACGUAGGGGGCAAGCGUUAUCCGGAUUGACGGGGUGUAAAGGGAGCGUAGGCGGCGAGACAAGUCAGGAGUGAAAGGCCGGGGCCCAACCCCGGGACUGCACUGGAAACUGCCUGGCGGGAGUACAGGAGAGGUAAGUGGAAUUCCUAGUGUAGCGGUGAAAUGCGUAGAUAUUAGGAGGAACACCAGUGGCGAAGGCGGCUUACUGGACUGUAACUGACGUUGAGGCUCGAAAGCGUGGGGAGCAAACAGGAUUAGAUACCCGUGUAGUC